GAUGAACGCUAGCUACAGGCUUAACACAUGCAAGUCGAGGGGCAGCAUGGUCUUAGCUUGCUAAGGCCGAUGGCGACCGGCGCACGGGUGAGUAACACGUAUCCAACCUGCCGUCUACUCUUGGACAGCCUUCUGAAAGGAAGAUUAAUACAAGAUGGCAUCAUGAGUCCGCAUGUUCACAUGAUUAAAGGUAUUCCGGUAGACGAUGGGGAUGCGUUCCAUUAGAUAGUAGGCGGGGUAACGGCCCACCUAGUCUUCGAUGGAUAGGGGUUCUGAGAGGAAGGUCCCCCACAUUGGAACUGAGACACGGUCCAAACUCCUACGGGAGGCAGCAGUGAGGAAUAUUGGUCAAUGGGCGAGAGCCUGAACCAGCCAAGUAGCGUGAAGGAUGACUGCCCUAUGGGUUGUAAACUUCUUUUAUAAAGGAAUAAAGUCGGGUAUGGAUACCCGUUUGCAUGUACUUUAUGAAUAAGGAUCGGCUAACUCCGUGCCAGCAGCCGCGGUAAUACGGAGGAUCCGAGCGUUAUCCGGAUUUAUUGGGUUUAAAGGGAGCGUAGAUGGAUGUUUAAGUCAGUUGUGAAAGUUUGCGGCUCAACCGUAAAAUUGCAGUUGAUACUGGAUAUCUUGAGUGCAGUUGAGGCAGGCGGAAUUCGUGGUGUAGCGGUGAAAUGCUUAGAUAUCACGAAGAACUCCGAUUGCGAAGGCAGCCUGCUAAGCUGCAACUGACAUUGAGGCUCGAAAGUGUGGGUAUCAAACAGGAUUAGAUACCCUGGUAGUCCACACGGUAAACGAUGAAUACUCGCUGUUUGCGAUAUACUGCAAGCGGCCAAGCGAAAGCGUUAAGUAUUCCACCUGGGGAGUACGCCGGCAACGGUGAAACUCAAAGGAAUUGACGGGGGCCCGCACAAGCGGAGGAACAUGUGGUUUAAUUCGAUGAUACGCGAGGAACCUUACCCGGGCUUAAAUUGCAGAUGAAUUACGGUGAAAGCCGUAAGCCGCAAGGCAUCUGUGAAGGUGCUGCAUGGUUGUCGUCAGCUCGUGCCGUGAGGUGUCGGCUUAAGUGCCAUAACGAGCGCAACCCUUGUUGUCAGUUACUAACAGGUUCCGCUGAGGACUCUGACAAGACUGCCAUCGUAAGAUGUGAGGAAGGUGGGGAUGACGUCAAAUCAGCACGGCCCUUACGUCCGGGGCUACACACGUGUUACAAUGGGGGGUACAGAGGGCCGCUACCACGCGAGUGGAUGCCAAUCCCCAAAACCUCUCUCAGUUCGGACUGGAGUCUGCGACCCGACUCCACGAAGCUGGAUUCGCUAGUAAUCGCGCGUCAGCCACGGCGCGGUAAAUACGUUCCCGGGCCU
Molecule: ribosomal RNA, 1358 nt
Filed under: uncultured bacterium
Lineage: Bacteria
Description: bacterial SSU rRNA
Rfam family: Bacterial small subunit ribosomal RNA
Source: RNAcentral